Molecule: transfer RNA, 45 nt
Filed under: Ceroplastes floridensis
Lineage: Eukaryota; Metazoa; Arthropoda; Insecta; Hemiptera; Coccidae
Description: tRNA-Cys
Source: RNAcentral
AUUAAUUGAUUUUAAAUUGCAAGUUUAAAUGUUGUUAAGUUAAUA